AUUGAACGCUGGCGGCGUGCUUAACACAUGCAAGUCGAACGUGAAGAAGCAGCAAUGUUUCUGAAAGUGGCGGACGGGUGAGUAACACGUGGGUGACCUGCCUUGCAGAGGGGGAUAACGAGGGGAAACCUUCGCUAAUACCGCAUAGGCUUACACUGAUGGGAAUGGUGUGGGUAAAACUGAGGUGCUGCAAGAGGGGCCUGCGUCCGAUUAGCUAGUUGGUGAGGUAAUGGCUCACCAAGGCGACGAUCCGUAGCUGGUCUGAGAGGAUGAUCAGCCACACUGGAACUGAGACACGGUCCAGACUCCUACGGGAGGCAGCAGUAGGGAAUAUUGGACAAUGGGCGCAAGCCUGAUCCAGCCAUGCCGCGUGAGUGAAGAAGGCCCUCGGGUUGUAAAGCCCUUUUGUCCGGAAGAAAGCUUUGGGUUAAUACCCCGAAGUCCUGACGGUACCGGAAGAAUAAGCACCGGCUAACUUCGUGCCAGCAGCCGCGGUAA
This 498-nucleotide ribosomal RNA is filed under the name uncultured bacterium. RNAcentral describes it as "bacterial SSU rRNA". It matches the Rfam family "Bacterial small subunit ribosomal RNA", at positions 30 to 523 of the family's 1533-position model. The record is from RNAcentral.